RNAcentral lists this ribosomal RNA (492 nucleotides) under uncultured bacterium. RNAcentral describes it as "partial 16S ribosomal RNA". It matches the Rfam family "Bacterial small subunit ribosomal RNA", at positions 29 to 507 of the family's 1533-position model. The record is from RNAcentral.
AGUGAACGCUGGCGGUAGGCCUAACACAUGCAAGUCGAACGGCAGCACAGUAAGAGCUUGCUCUUACGGGUGGCGAGAGGCGGGCGGAUGAGGAAUAUAUCGGAAUCUACUUUUUCGUGGGGGUUAACGUAGGGAAACCUACGCUAAUACAGCAUACGACCUACGGGUGAAAGCAGGGGAUCUUCGCACCUUGCGCGAUUGAAUGAGCCGAUGACGGAUUAGCUAGUUGGCGGGGUAAAGGCCCACCAAGGCGACGAUCCGUAGCUGGUCUGAGAGGAUGAUCGGCGACAUGGGAGCUUAGACACGGUCCAUACGCCUACGGGAGGCAGCAGUGGGGAAUAUGGGACAAUGGGGGCAAGCCUGAUCCAGCCAUACCGCGUGUGUUAAGAAGGCGUUCGGGUCGUAAAGCCCUUUUGUGGGGAAAGAAAAGCAGCAGGUUGAUACGCCGCUGGUCUGACGGUACCCAAUGAAGAAGCACCGGCUAACUUCGUG